UGGGCGUAAAGCGAGUGUAGGUGGCUCAUUAAGUCACAUGUGAAAUCCCCGGGCUUAACCUGGGAACUGCAUGUGAUACUGGUGGUGCUAGAAUAUGUGAGAGGGAAGUAGAAUUCCAGGUGUAGCGGUGAAAUGCGUAGAGAUCUGGAGGAAUACCGAUGGCGAAGGCAGCUUCCUGGCAUAAUAUUGACACUGAGAUUCGAAAGCGUGGGUAGCAAACAGGAUUAGAUACCCUGGUAGUCCACGCCGUAAACGAUGUCUACUAGCCGUUGGGGUCCUUGAGACUUUAGUGGCGCAGUUAACGCGAUAAGUAGACCGCCUGGGGAGUACGGCCGCAAGGUUAAAACUCAAAUGAAUUGACGGGGGCCCGCACAAGCGGUGGAGCAUGUGGUUUAAUUCGAUGCAACGCGAAGAACCUUACCUGGUCUUGACAUAGUGAGAAUCUUUCAGAGAUGAGAGAGUGCCUUCGGGAAUUCACAUACAGGUGCUGCAUGGCUGUCGUCAGCUCGUGUCGUGAGAUGUUGGGUUAAGUCCCGCAACGAGCGCAACCCUUUUCCUUAUUUGCCAGCGGGUUAAGCCGGGAACUUUAAGGAUACUGCCAGUGACAAACUGGAGGAAGGCGGGGACGACGUCAAGUCAUCAUGGCCCUUACGACCAGGGCUACACACGUGCUACAAUGGUAGGUACAGAGGGUUGCUACACAGCGAUGUGAUGCUAAUCUCAAAAAGCCUAUCGUAGUCCGGAUUGGAGUCUGCAACUCGACUCCAUGAAGUCGGAAUCGCUAGUA
RNAcentral lists this ribosomal RNA (787 nucleotides) under uncultured Moraxella sp. RNAcentral's name for it is "bacterial SSU rRNA". It matches the Rfam family "Bacterial small subunit ribosomal RNA", at positions 555 to 1340 of the family's 1533-position model. The record is from RNAcentral. Lineage: Bacteria; Pseudomonadati; Pseudomonadota; Gammaproteobacteria; Moraxellales; Moraxellaceae.